Molecule: non-coding RNA, 442 nt
Filed under: Amborella trichopoda
Lineage: Eukaryota; Viridiplantae; Streptophyta; Magnoliopsida; Amborellales; Amborellaceae
Description: Bacterial small subunit ribosomal RNA
Rfam family: Bacterial small subunit ribosomal RNA
Source: Rfam by way of RNAcentral
GAAUUCGAUCCAGACUCAAGAUGAAUGUUGGCGGCACACUUAACACAUGCAAGUUGGACGGGAAGUGGUAUUUCCCGUGGUGGACGGUGAGUAACGUGUAAGAACCAACUGGAAACAGCUGCUAAUACCCCGUAGGCUGAGGAGCGGCUCACAUCUGAUUAGCUAGUUGGUGAGGCAAUAGUUUACCGAGGCGAUGAUCUGGCCUGAGAGGAUGAUCAGCCACACUGGGACUAAGACACGGCCCAUACUCCUAUGGGAGGCAGCAAUGGGGAAUUUUCCACAAUGGGCAAAAGCCUGACAAAGCAAUGCUGGGUGGAGGUAGAAGGCCCAUGGGUCGUGAACUUAUUUUCCCAGAGAAGAAGCAAUGACGGUAUCCGAGGAAUAAGCAUCAGCUAACUCUGUGCCAGCAGUCGCGGUAAGACAGAGGAUGCGAGCGUUAUCC